UUGGUCAAACCUGCGCGGGGCGGGGCGGACGCGUCUGUUCCCUACUGGCGGUGCUGGCCAAUAGGACUCCAGCUCGCCCAGUUCAGUGCCCAGCCCAGCCAUGCUGGUUCCCAGGUUCCCUUGCUCCCGCUGUAGUGCGCUGUGCCCGCCAAUCAGCGAGGCUGCAUUGUCUGCGUGGAGAUUGGGUUGGUUCCAUGUCUUACCAACUGUGAAUAAUGCCGCAUGAACAUGGAUGUACAGGCACUCAAGCUCCAAUAGUCUCUGAGGAAGGAGACAGAGAAGAGAAUUCCACCAUUCCCACCACCACCUUUUGGUUUCAUUCAGCUGUGGCAGCCUGU
Molecule: long non-coding RNA, 338 nt
Organism: Tupaia belangeri chinensis (Chinese tree shrew)
Lineage: Eukaryota; Metazoa; Chordata; Mammalia; Scandentia; Tupaiidae
Exons: 3
Source: RefSeq, a predicted model, not a curated record